CGGGGUGUAGCUCAGUGGUAGAGCAUGUACUUAGCAUGCAUGAGGUGCUGGGUUCCAUCCCCAGUACCUCCA
RNAcentral lists this transfer RNA (72 nucleotides) under Camelus bactrianus (Bactrian camel). It matches the Rfam family "tRNA". From Rfam's summary of the family: Transfer RNA (tRNA) molecules are approximately 80 nucleotides in length. Their secondary structure includes four short double-helical elements and three loops (D, anti-codon, and T loops). The record is from Rfam by way of RNAcentral. RNAcentral also lists the same sequence under 2 other names. Lineage: Eukaryota; Metazoa; Chordata; Mammalia; Artiodactyla; Camelidae.